This 320-nucleotide long non-coding RNA is filed under the name Amborella trichopoda. Its description in RNAcentral is "long non-coding RNA (ATRI_LNC000810)". The record is from RNAcentral. Lineage: Eukaryota; Viridiplantae; Streptophyta; Magnoliopsida; Amborellales; Amborellaceae.
CUGUUAUUAACGUAUAUGUAUACUGAUUUAUAUGCUACACACAAACUCACACUCACACUCUCCCUUACACUUACACUCACACACUCACUCACAUACACACGCACACACACUCACACACACUCACUCACAUACACACACACACAUACACACUCACACUCACACUGACACUUACACUCACACUCACACUCACUCGCACUCACACUCACACUCACACUCACACUUACACUCAUACUCACACUCACACUCACACUCACACUCACACUCACACUCACACUCACACUCACACUCACACUCACACUCACUCACACACACUCACACUC